Molecule: ribosomal RNA, 441 nt
Filed under: uncultured bacterium
Lineage: Bacteria
Description: partial 16S ribosomal RNA
Rfam family: Bacterial small subunit ribosomal RNA
Source: RNAcentral
CUACGGGGGGCAGCAGUGGGGAAUAUUGGACAAUGGACCAAAAGUCUGAUCCAGCAAUUCUGUGUGCACGAUGACGGUUUUCGGAUUGUAAAGUGCUUUCAACAGGGAAGAAGUUCUGACGGUACCUGUAGAAGAAGCGACGGCUAAAUACGUGCCAGCAGCCGCGGUAAUACGUAUGUCGCAAGCGUUAUCCGGAUUUAUUGGGCAUAAAGGGCAUCUAGGCGGCUUAGUAAGUCUGAUGUGAAAAUGCGGGGCUCAACUCCGUAUUGCGUUGGAAACUACUAAGCUAGAGUAUUGGAGAGGUAGGCGGAACUACAUGUGCAGAGGUGAAAUUCGUAGAUAUAUGUAGGAAUGCCGAUGACGAAGGUAGCUUACUGGACAAUUACUGACGCUGAAGUGCGAAAGCUAGGGGAGCAAACAGGAUUAGAUACCCUAGUAGUC